Molecule: ribosomal RNA, 1429 nt
Filed under: uncultured organism
Description: 16S ribosomal RNA
Rfam family: Bacterial small subunit ribosomal RNA
Source: RNAcentral
CUUAACACAUGCAAGUCGAGGGGCAGCAUUUUAGUUUGCUUGCAAACUAAAGAUGGCGACCGGCGCACGGGUGAGUAACACGUAUCCAACCUGCCGAUAACUCGGGGAUAGCCUUUCGAAAGAAAGAUUAAUAUCCGAUAGUAUAUUAAAACCGUAUGGUUUUACUAUUAAAGAAUUUCGGUUAUCGAUGGGGAUGCGUUCCAUUAGUUUGUUGGCGGGGUAACGGCCCACCAAGACUACGAUGGAUAGGGGUUCUGAGAGGAAGGUCCCCCACAUUGGAACUGAGACACGGUCCAAACUCCUACGGGAGGCAGCAGUGAGGAAUAUUGGUCAAUGGACGAGAGUCUGAACCAGCCAAGUAGCGUGAAGGAUGACUGCCCUAUGGGUUGUAAACUUCUUUUAUAUGGGAAUAAAGUAUUCCACGUGUGGGAUUUUGUAUGUACCAUAUGAAUAAGGAUCGGCUAACUCCGUGCCAGCAGCCGCGGUAAUACGGAGGAUCCGAGCGUUAUCCGGAUUUAUUGGGUUUAAAGGGAGCGUAGGUGGAUUGUUAAGUCAGUUGUGAAAGUUUGCGGCUCAACCGUAAAAUUGCAGUUGAAACUGGCAGUCUUGAGUACAGUAGAGGUGGGCGGAAUUCGUGGUGUAGCGGUGAAAUGCUUAGAUAUCACGAAGAACUCCGAUUGCGAAGGCAGCUCACUAGACUGCAACUGACACUGAUGCUCGAAAGUGUGGGUAUCAAACAGGAUUAGAUACCCUGGUAGUCCACACAGUAAACGAUGAAUACUCGCUGUUUGCGAUAUACAGUAAGCGGCCAAGCGAAAGCAUUAAGUAUUCCACCUGGGGAGUACGCCGGCAACGGUGAAACUCAAAGGAAUUGACGGGGGCCCGCACAAGCGGAGGAACAUGUGGUUUAAUUCGAUGAUACGCGAGGAACCUUACCCGGGCUUAAAUUGCAUUUGAAUAAUCUGGAAACAGGUUAGCCGCAAGGCAAAUGUGAAGGUGCUGCAUGGUUGUCGUCAGCUCGUGCCGUGAGGUGUCGGCUUAAGUGCCAUAACGAGCGCAACCCUUAUCUUUAGUUACUAACAGGUCAUGCUGAGGACUCUAGAGAGACUGCCGUCGUAAGAUGUGAGGAAGGUGGGGAUGACGUCAAAUCAGCACGGCCCUUACGUCCGGGGCUACACACGUGUUACAAUGGGGGGUACAGAAGGCAGCUACCUGGCGACAGGAUGCUAAUCCCAAAAACCUCUCUCAGUUCGGAUCGAAGUCUGCAACCCGACUUCGUGAAGCUGGAUUCGCUAGUAAUCGCGCAUCAGCCAUGGCGCGGUGAAUACGUUCCCGGGCCUUGUACACACCGCCCGUCAAGCCAUGAAAGCCGGGGGUACCUGAAGUACGUAACCGCAAGGAGCGUCCUAGGGUAAAACUGGUAAUUGGG